AUGGUCCUAACCAAAGUUUGUGAAUUAAUAGAUAUGGCUAAUGGUAUGUGGGAUGAGGCGCUAAUAACAAGUUUAUUCAAUCCAGUGGAUGCCCGCAGAAUUAUUCAGAUUCCACUACACUUGCAUGGUUUUGAUGACUUUGUGGCAUGGCACCCGAACAGGAUAGGUAUUUUCUCAGUAAAGAGUGCAGAUCAUAUGCAGUGGAUGCAUAGUUUUCGGGCGCAUGCAAAUACGAUGGGACACCCUGGUGGCUCUACCACUCGGGCAGUGUGGAAUACUCUCUGGAAACUUCAGAUUCCACGUAAAGUACAGAUUUUUUGUUGGCGAGCACUGCGAGGAGUUAUCCCACUAAGAGCUAUACUUACUAACAGGCACAUUGGUUCCAAUGGUGCUUGUCCUAUCUGUCAUCAAGGGGCAGAUGAUAUCCGUCACUUAAUGUUUUUAUGCUCGAAUGCACGACACUUGUGGACGAAGCUGGGCAUCACAAAUAUCAUCGACCAAGCGAUCCAGGUUGAUAGAUCGGGGUCUGCGAUCUUGGAAUUUAUCUUAUCAUUGCUGGACCAACAGCUUGAGAUGCACCCAAUAAUUAACUUCAAACAAGUAAUAGCCGUUGGGGGCUGGUACCUUUGGUGGAUCCGUAGAAAAGUGACGCACAAUGAAUCAAUUCCUCCCCCUUGGAGGUGGGCACUCUCUGUGUUAUCAAUCUCAAGCAACCAUCAGAGGGCUACAUCGCUGGUGAGAAUUUCCCCUGAAGCAAAGUGGUGUAAGCCGGAACCUCGGUUCAUUAAGUUAAAUGUUGAUGUGGCGUACUACUCGGACGAAGGGGUAGGUGCUACGGCGGCUAUCCUGCGUGAUGACAAAGGUAAUUUCUUGGGAGCCCAAUGCAAGUUUAUACCUAUUGUGGUGGAUGCAAUAACAACAGAAGCGUUGGCCAUGCGAGACGGGCUGAUUUUUGCUAACUCCUUUGGGUGUAACCGGGUAGAAGCUGAAUCAGAUUCUUUGCAAGUAAUCAAUUAUUGUGAUGGACAGACCAUAUGGUGGGACUCGGCGGCGGCAAUAUUCGCAGAAUGUUUGAACACUAGUACUUCAAUAGGGAAGGUCGUUUAUAAGCAUUGUUAUAGAUCUUGUAAUCAAGUGGCUCAUAUGCUAGCUCAUUUUAGUUGCUGUAAUAAGACUUCAUUUAGUUGGUUGGAUGAGCCCCCUGACUUUAUUAUCAGUAAGCUCGUAGACGAUGUAAACAUUAUUUAA
RNAcentral lists this ribosomal RNA (1248 nucleotides) under Triticum aestivum (bread wheat). Its description in RNAcentral is "partial small subunit ribosomal RNA". The record is from RNAcentral. Lineage: Eukaryota; Viridiplantae; Streptophyta; Magnoliopsida; Poales; Poaceae.